GACAGAGGGUGCGAACGUUGUUCGGAAUUACUGGGCGUAAAGCGCAUGUAGGCGGCAGCGCAAGUCGGGCGUGAAAUCCCACGGCUCAACCGUGGAAGUGCACUCGAAACUGCGCAGCUAGAGUCCUGGAGAGGAAGGUGGAAUACUUGGUGUAGAGGUGAAAUUCGUAGAUAUCAAGCGGAACACCGGUGGCGAAGGCGGCCUUCUGGACAGUGACUGACGCUGAGAUGCGAAAGCGUGGGGAGCAAACAGG
This 253-nucleotide ribosomal RNA is filed under the name uncultured bacterium. RNAcentral's name for it is "partial 16S ribosomal RNA". It matches the Rfam family "Bacterial small subunit ribosomal RNA", at positions 524 to 776 of the family's 1533-position model. The record is from RNAcentral.